This 253-nucleotide ribosomal RNA is filed under the name uncultured bacterium. RNAcentral's name for it is "partial 16S ribosomal RNA". It matches the Rfam family "Bacterial small subunit ribosomal RNA", at positions 524 to 776 of the family's 1533-position model. The record is from RNAcentral.
UACGAAGGGGGCUAGCGUUGCUUGGAAUCACUGGGCGUAAAGCGCACGUAGGCGGGUCCUUAAGUCAGGGGUGAAAUCCCGGAGCUCAACUCCGGAACUGCCUUUGAUACUGGGGAUCUUGAGUCCGGAAGAGGUGAGUGGAACUCCGAGUGUAGAGGUGAAAUUCGUAGAUAUUCGGAAGAACACCAGUGGCGAAGGCGGCUCACUGGUCCGGUACUGACGCUGAGGUGCGAAAGCGUGGGGAGCAAACAGG